GCUUACCCGUUGAAGGGAAUUGGAAGGUUUCGGUUUCCCCAUCCGCCUUGUGCCCUCGGGGGUGCGGGGCGGACRUGAGGCGGACUCCGUGUUCCAGGCGUGCCUUGCGAGUUCUCGCACGGKCGGUCKUGGMCCACGGGGUCUUUGCCCGUUCUCUCGGAUGCGGAAUGUCRUGCGUGGGCGUGGGGUCUCGGCCUCGCUCCGUCCAAGCUGAAGCAUUCGUCCCUCGACGCGAACGACUGCCGUGACCGUCUUGACCGCCCAAGGAGUCCUCCGACGCGGGGUCCCUGGAGGGCGGCUCAUGCGGGCUCGGCGUCGCUAAGGAAUGCUACCUGGUUGAUCCUGCCAGU
This 350-nucleotide unclassified non-coding RNA is filed under the name Picrasma crenata. RNAcentral describes it as "partial miscellaneous RNA". The record is from RNAcentral. Lineage: Eukaryota; Viridiplantae; Streptophyta; Magnoliopsida; Sapindales; Simaroubaceae.